Non-coding RNA from Arachnomyces sp. PD_36, 96 nucleotides. The record is from the annotation of a GenBank genome assembly. NCBI's taxonomy places the organism in Eukaryota, Fungi, Ascomycota, Eurotiomycetes, Onygenales, Arachnomycetaceae.
GGUCUCAUAGUCUAGUUGGUUAGGACAUUCGGUUCUGAUACAAGCUGUCUUGAGUCUUAACUCCGAAUAGCCUGGGUUCGAAUCCCAGUGAGACCU